RNAcentral lists this ribosomal RNA (293 nucleotides) under uncultured eukaryote. RNAcentral describes it as "partial 18S ribosomal RNA". It matches the Rfam family "Eukaryotic small subunit ribosomal RNA", at positions 6 to 295 of the family's 1831-position model. The record is from RNAcentral.
GGUUGAUCCUGCCAGUAGUCAUAUGCUUGUCUCAAAGAUUAAGCCAUGCAUGUCUAAGCACAUGCCUUAAUACGGUGAAGCCGCGAAUAGCUCAUUACAACAGCCAUCGUUUAUUAGAAUAUCGUUAUCCUACUUGGAUAACUGUGGCAAUUCUAGAGCUAAUACAUGCAAUAAAGCUCCGCCCGCAAGGAACGAGCGCAUUUAUUAGAAUAAAAACCAAUCGAGUUUCGGCUCGUAAUUUGGUGAAUCUGAAUAACUUUGCCAAUCGCACAGUCCUAGUACUGGCGAUGUAU